UACGGGGGGGGUAAGCGUUGUUCGGAAUUACUGGGCGUAAAGGGCUCGUAGGCGGCCAACUAAGUCAUACGUGAAAUCCCUCAGCUUAACUGGGGAACUGCGUGUGAUACUGGAUGGCUUGGAUUUGGGAGAGGGAUGCGGAAUUCCAGGUGUAGCGGUGAAAUGCGUAGAGAUGUGGAGGAACACCGAUGGCGAAGGCAGCCUCCUGGGCCAACACUGACGCUCAUGCACGAAAGCGUGGGGAGCAAACAGG
RNAcentral lists this ribosomal RNA (253 nucleotides) under uncultured bacterium. RNAcentral describes it as "partial 16S ribosomal RNA". It matches the Rfam family "Bacterial small subunit ribosomal RNA", at positions 524 to 776 of the family's 1533-position model. The record is from RNAcentral.